UAUCCAGACUCCUACGGGAGGCAGCAGUGGGGAAUAUUGCACAAUGGGGGGAACCCUGAUGCAGCGACGCCGCGUGGGUGAAGGAGCACCUCGGUGCGUAAAGCCCUAUCGGCAGGGAAGAAAAGCGAACAGGUUCGCCUGGACGGUACCUGACUAAGAAGCCCCGGCUAACUACGUGCCAGCAGCCGCGGUAAUACGUAGGGGGCAAGCGUUAUCCGGAUUCACUGGGUGUAAAGGGAGCGUAGACGGCGACGCAAGUCUGGAGUGAAAGCCCGGGGCCCAACCCCGGGACUGCCCUUGGAACUGCAUGGCUGGAGUGCGGGAGGGGCAGGCGGAAUUCCUGGUGUAGCGGUGAAAUGCGUAGAUAUUAGGAGGAACACCAGUGGCGAAGGCGGCCUGCUGGACGACAACUGACGGUGAGGCGCGAAAGCGUGGGGAGCAAACAGGAUUAGAUACCCCCGUAA
Molecule: ribosomal RNA, 464 nt
Filed under: uncultured bacterium
Lineage: Bacteria
Description: bacterial SSU rRNA
Rfam family: Bacterial small subunit ribosomal RNA
Source: RNAcentral